GUUAGUAUUAAAGGUGGACAUACUUGUAUUUUGAAAAUCGCUCCAAUGGCAGAUGACGAAGAAGAAGAAGUGGUUGUUGCGCCCAAAAUCGAACGCAAACGUGACAAGGAGAGCACAAUGGCGACUAGACUUGGGAGGCCAAUUAAGAUAAAUCCAAAGUAUGGUGCAGCUACAGAUGUCCCUGUGUCUGCUGUUCAGGAAAAUGCAGGAUCCAGUAUGCAGACUGCACAGCAAGUGUGCAGACAAAUCCCUGUGUCUGCUGUUCAGGAAAAUGCAAGAACAGAAGUUGCACCCACCAUACAAAUACAAUUCCAAAAUGCAAAGCAAACAAUAGAAGUUCAAAAACAGAAAAUCCUUCACCUGGAGGAUAAGGUUAAC
Molecule: long non-coding RNA, 378 nt
Filed under: Carassius auratus (goldfish)
Lineage: Eukaryota; Metazoa; Chordata; Actinopteri; Cypriniformes; Cyprinidae
Description: lncRNA (ENSCARG00000061771.1)
Source: RNAcentral